Prosopis cineraria is the source of this 864-nucleotide long non-coding RNA. RefSeq lists it as uncharacterized. Lineage: Eukaryota; Viridiplantae; Streptophyta; Magnoliopsida; Fabales; Fabaceae. The record is from RefSeq and is a predicted model, not a curated record. The transcript is spliced from 3 exons.
UUAUUUGCUUUAUCAUUGUUUGAUAAUUUUAAUAUCCCUUACAAAGCUUCCCUCACCAUUCAUUCUAUUGCUUCUCUCCGGUGCUUCAUUGUUUUGUUUUAUCUCAUUCGCUCCCUUUGAGCCACCUGGAGGGUCAUUUGCACCAUCGAAUAGGAUGAGGAGGCUCACAAGAACGAUGACCUUGUUCCUCUUGUUGAGAAUUAUAGAUCUAAGGUCGAUUCCGAGCUGUCCAAUGUGGGUGAUAAUAUCUUGAAGCUGUCGGCCUCCAAUCUGAUUCCCUCCACUUCUGCUAGUGAGCUGAGGAUAUUGUCUCAUUUUGCAAGGCUGCACAAGUGUUGAUCCAACUGAAUGGGAGUCUCUGUCUAUGUAACAAUGUCUGGUGCGGAUCACUAAAAUUAUCAAUAGAUGUCAAGGCUUGGAGGCACCAGUCUUCGGAGCAUUGUGAGAAUCAUGAUAUGUAAUAUUUUUGACAAAUCAAAGAUAAUUACUAUUCACAAUAUCAAAGAUAGUUAAGCAUUAUCCAUAUUUCUAACAAAUCUAACUUAUAACAUCCUGAUGUAGAGGGCAAUUAAUUACCUUGGUAUAUUUGUUAUUAUUGUUUUGUCUUAUAAUUUUCAGUGCUUUCAAAAGGAGUUUGCAAGUGUGGACUCAUCAAAGACAACACAGUCAAACUCAGACACAAGUUGUUAGACUUGCAGUACUUCUACCCACAUUUUUUCCCAAAUAUUGUGUCCAAUGUAGGAAGAAGACUGAUAAAAAGGUGUCAAGCAUUGAUCAAAGUUGAGGUCUAAUGAAGAACAAAUCAUAGGAAGACUAAUUGCAUGGGAUUAUUAUUUCAAACACCUUUUAAAUGUAGGUGUGAAG